RNAcentral lists this long non-coding RNA (225 nucleotides) under Eucalyptus grandis. RNAcentral describes it as "long non-coding RNA (EGRA_LNC006014)". Lineage: Eukaryota; Viridiplantae; Streptophyta; Magnoliopsida; Myrtales; Myrtaceae. The record is from RNAcentral.
UUUUUCUGUAGUCUCUUCUAAAUGUUAACGAGUCUUCCGUCUGAUCUGAAUAAUGGGUGACGGCUCAUCCAGGACUAUCGAAAAAUCUAGUAGGGUUGUAGGGAGGGACUUGAUCUCAUGGAUGAGGAGCUCGAAGUGUAGAUGACCUAGAGGCUCUUCUUUUUUAUGUAGAUCCAUGUUAUGUUAGAUUUUUCUGUAUGUAAACUCUAUUGUAAAAAUAUGUGU